Non-coding RNA from Buceros rhinoceros silvestris, 72 nucleotides. NCBI's taxonomy places the organism in Eukaryota, Metazoa, Chordata, Aves, Bucerotiformes, Bucerotidae. The record is from Rfam.
GGCUCGUUGGUCUAGGGGUAUGGUUCUUGCUUAGGGUUUGAGAGAUCCUGGGUUCAAAUCCCAGAUGAGCCC